Molecule: unclassified non-coding RNA, 624 nt
Filed under: Clitocybula lacerata
Lineage: Eukaryota; Fungi; Basidiomycota; Agaricomycetes; Agaricales; Porotheleaceae
Description: sequence contains 28S rRNA gene
Rfam family: Eukaryotic large subunit ribosomal RNA
Source: RNAcentral
GGAGGAAAAGAAACUAACAAGGAUUCCCUUAGUAACUGCGAGUGAACAGGGAAAAGCUCAAAUUUAAAAUCUGGCAGUCGUUUGGCUGUCCGAGUUGUAAUUUAGAGAAGUGUUACCCGCGCUGGACCGUAUACAAGUCCUCUGGAAUGGGGCGUCAUAGAGGGUGAGAAUCCYGUCUUUGAUACGGACUACCAGUGCUUUGUGGUGUGCUCUCGAAGAGUCGAGUUGUUUGGGAAUGCAGCUCAAAAUGGGUGGUAAAUUCCAUCUAAAGCUAAAUACAGGCGAGAGACCGAUAGCGAACAAGUACCGUGAGGGAAAGAUGAAAAGAACUUUGGAAAGAGAGUUAAACAGUACGUGAAAUUGCUGAAAGGGAAACGCUUGAAGUCAGUCGCGUUGGCUGAGAAUCAGCCUUGCUUUUACUUGCUUGGUGUACUUCUCAGUCGAUGGGUCAGCAUCAGUUUUGACUGCUGGAUAAAGCUCAAGGGAAUGUGGCAUCUUCGGAUGUGUUAUAGCCCAUGUUCGUAUACAGCAGUUGGGACUGAGGAACUCAGCACGCCGCAAGGCCGGGUUUUUAACCACGUACGUGCUUAGGAUGCUGGCAUAAUGGCUUUAAUCGACCCGUCU